UCUUAAUAGAGGGAAGUACAUACAAGAUGGAGUUAAGGAAAGGAAAGUAGCGAUAGGAAGUAAAUGUUUCUUAAUAGAGGGAAGUACAUACAAGAAGGAGUUAAGGAAAGGAAAGUAGCGAUAGGAGGUAAAUGUUUCUUAAUAGAGGGAAGUACAUACAAGAAGGAGUUAAGGAAAGGAAAGUAGCGAUAGGAGGUAAAUGUUUCUUAAUAGAGGGAAGUACAUACAAGAAGGAGUUAAGGAAAGGAAAGUAGCGAUAGGAGGUAAAUGUUUCUUAAUAGAGGGAAGUACAUACAAGAAGGAGUUAAGGAAAGGAAAGUAGCGAUAGGAAGUAAAUGUUUCUUAAUAGAGGGAAGUACAUACAAGAAGGAGUUAAGGAAAGGAAAGUAGCGAUAGGAGGUAAAUGUUUCUUAAUAGAGGGAAGUACAUACAAGAAGGAGUUAAGGAAAGGAAAGUAGCGAUAGGAGGUAAAUGUUUCUUAAUAGAGGGAAGUACAUACAAGAAGGAGAAAAAAAGUACAGAGGAUGUAUCAAUUUGGGUUCUCUCGGACCAUAAAAAAAAUACGACAGGAGGUAAAGGAGAGGUAGCAAUCAAAGGUAAACAGUUCUUAGUACAGAAAAAUACAUACAAAAAGCGAGUUAUACGCAGAGAGAAUGUAUCAAUUUGGGUCCCUCCGAAAAGUGCUAAAGCGACAGCAGGUAAAGGAAAGGUAAGCCGUGGGUGUAAAUUGCCGGAAUAUUAGCUCGAUGAGGAAAAUUACAGGUAGAGUAAUUGAAAAUGUGAUUACCUGUUUAGGAUUGCGGUAAAAUUGGCGGUAUUACUAUUUUGGAACCCUGGCGAAUACACGAAUCAUACACGAAGGCAAUUAAGGGAAGAUUUACUGGAUAAUUUCUUGACUUAGACGAAGAUUAAAAACGCAGGAAAAAUCGAUCGUAUUAAAAGAAAGAGGAAAAAACAUAAAACGGCUCUUUUAGUAUUUUUGCAGGGCAGGAAAUAAAUAGCAAAGGAAAUAUUUUAACGUGAGAGGAAGAUUUUAAUUAGGAUAUAAAUUUAAGUUGAAGAAGAAUGCAACUAGUACAACACCUUUCGUAUAUAGGUAAGAGAGAACGAGAGCGAGAGCGAGAGAGAGAGAGAGAGAGAGAGAGAGAGAGAGAGAAUCCUUCAUAUUUUCACUUUCACUCUUUCUUCCUAACCUUACCUCACCUGUCUCCUUUCCCUUUCCCUCCUUUCUCCAUUUACCUGUUCUACCUCUUUCUUCUACCUCACCUUUCCUCCGUAUCUCCGUAUCUUAUAUUCUCCUCUUCACGUUUCCUCUCUUCCUCCAAUUCCUUCAUUUACCUUCCUCCACUCCCCUUUCCUCAUCUCUUGCUCCUCCUCCUUCAUUUACUUUUCUCUCUCUCACCUUUCCUCACCUCUUUCUCUCCUUUAAUCUUAUAUCUUCUCCCCUUUUCCUUCCUUACCUUACACUACUUCCUUAUUCUUAACUUCCUUUCUUCCUUACCUUCCUUCAUCUCCUUCCGUUUUUUACCCUUUGUUUCUUCCUUUCUUAUUUAACCUUUCAUUUCUCUCUUCCAUUCUUAUCCUCUUCUAUCUUUCUUCCUUUCCCUUCCCUUGCCUUUCUUUCUUAUUCUCAGUUCUCUAUAAUUCUUCCCUUCCCUUCCUUUGCCUUCGUCUGUUAUCCUCCUUUAUAGCUCCUCCCUUCCCUUGCCUUCUUUUCUUCCUUUCCCUUCCCUUGUCUUCCUCUCUUAUCUUCCUCUAUAUCUCUUCUUUUCCUUGCCUUACUUUCAUCCCUUCCCUUCCCUUCCUUUCCUCCCUUUCCCUUAAAUUAUAUAACUUACCUCUUACCUCAAAUCGUACCCUUACCGUUCCUUCUCUCAUUCCUUUACCCUCUUUCCCUCCCUCCACUUCAAUUUCCCCAUCACCUACCUCUCUCCCUUCCUCACCCUCCCCUUUCAUCCCCUCUCCUCCCUCUCCCCCUCCCCCCCCCGCACUCAAUCAACCAGGAAAGUGGCCGCCACACAAUUUUCAAAGUCUAAUUCAUCCAAGAUCGGCCGGAUUUUUAAUUAGUUCCAAAAGUAAGAAAUUGGGAAAUUAAUAUUAUGUUCAUUACCAGGAAAGAAGCUAUCAGAAUUUUUUCAGCCUAUCUUUCUUGAAGGGAGGAAAGGAGACGCCCGUAGCACCGUGUGGG
Molecule: long non-coding RNA, 2188 nt
Organism: Eriocheir sinensis (Chinese mitten crab)
Lineage: Eukaryota; Metazoa; Arthropoda; Malacostraca; Decapoda; Varunidae
Exons: 3
Source: RefSeq, a predicted model, not a curated record